AUAGAUAUCACAUAGAACACCGAUCGCGAAGGCAGGUGGCCAACUAUGAACUGACACUGAUGGACGAAAGCGUGGGGAGCGAACGGGAUUAGAUACCCCGGUAGUCCACGCCGUAAACGAUGGAUACUAGCUGUGGGGACUUCGGUCUCCGUGGCCAAGCGAAAGUGAUAAGUAUCCCACUUGGGGAGUACGUUCGCAAGAAUGAAACUCAAAGGAAUUGACGGGGGCCCGCACAAGCGGUGGAGCAUGUGGUUUAAUUUGAUGAUACGCGAGGAACCUUACCAGGGCUUAAAUGCAGUAUGACAAGGGUAGAGAUACCUUCUUCUUCGGACAUAUUGCAAGGUGCUGCAUGGUUGUCGUCAGCUCGUGCCGUGAGGUGUCAGGUUAAGUCCUAUAACGAGCGCAACCCCUGCCGUUAGUUGCCGGCAUGUCAAGAUGGGGACUCUAACGGGACUGCCGGGCAAACCGUGAGGAAGGUGGGGACGACGUCAAAUCAUCACGGCCUUUACGUCCUGGGCCACACACGUGCUACAAUGGCCGGUACAGAGGGAAGCCACCCCGCGAGGGGGAGCGGAUCUACAAAGCCGGUCUCAGUUCGGAUCGGGGUCUGCAACUCGACCCCGUGAAGCUGGAAUCGCUAGUAAUUGCAUAUCAGCCAUGAUGCGGUGAAUACGUUCCCGGGCCUUGUACACACCGCCCA
This 700-nucleotide ribosomal RNA is filed under the name uncultured bacterium. Its description in RNAcentral is "bacterial SSU rRNA". It matches the Rfam family "Bacterial small subunit ribosomal RNA", at positions 690 to 1396 of the family's 1533-position model. The record is from RNAcentral.